GAUGAACGCUGGCGGCGUGCCUAAUACAUGCAAGUCGAGCGAACAGACGAGGAGCUUGCUCCUCUGACGUUAGCGGCGGACGGGUGAGUAACACGUGGAUAACCUACCUAUAAGACUGGGAUAACUUCGGGAAACCGGAGCUAAUACCGGAUAAUAUAUUGAACCGCAUGGUUCAAUAGUGAAAGACGGUUUUGCUGUCACUUAUAGAUGGAUCCGCGCCGCAUUAGCUAGUUGGUAAGGUAACAGCUUACCAAGGCAACGAUGCGUAGCCGACCUGAGAGGGUGAUCGGCCACACUGGAACUGAGACACGGUCCAGACUCCGACGGGAGGCAGCAGUAGGGAAUCUUCCGCAAUGGGCGAAAGCCUGACGGAGCAACGCCGCGUGAGUGAUGAAGGUCUUCGGAUCGUAAAACUCUGUUAUUAGGGAAGAACAAAUGUGUAAGUAACUAUGCACGUCUUGACGGUACCUAAUCAGAAAGCCACGGCUAACUACGUG
Molecule: ribosomal RNA, 497 nt
Filed under: uncultured bacterium
Lineage: Bacteria
Description: partial 16S ribosomal RNA
Rfam family: Bacterial small subunit ribosomal RNA
Source: RNAcentral